UUUUUGGCUAGGGUUGGACAUAUACAUGGAGAAGUAAAUAUCAUGAGUUGAUUCAAAUUUUGAUACCAACUGGAGUUAAAAGGAAUGCUUCGGAUUCUUGGAGAUGGAGAAACAAAAAUUCUGGUAUGCAUUCCACGAGGUCGGCAUACGAGGUGUUGACAUAUAUAUAAUGAUGAAGUUGACCUUGUCAAUCAAUUCUACCCUCUGUGGUGGCGUUUGAAGAUCUCCAAUAAAGUAGCUUUCAUGAUUUUGAGGGAUACUAUUAUGACUAGAAGCAUUGAUCAACAAAACCAAGAACCAGGAACCUGCAUAACCAAGCAAGGAUGCAAAACCAAAUAAUGGCCAAAAAGGGAAAUCAACAAACCCCACUACCUUAAGGAUUUUGUUUAGCAAAUUAGGAAGUAAUGGCUGAGCUUGUAGCUGAAUAGUGGCACUCUAGAUGCUUUGUCGGUUGAAUAUUCCAUUCCGUUAAGAAUUGUCCCCUUUGAUUUUGUCAUUGUUUUCCUUCAAGGCACAUAAUGCCAAAUCCGUUAGAGAUUUGUUAGCUGCAUUUCUAUAUAUAUAGGAAUGAUGUAUUCUAAUGGAUAAGCAUAAAUAAAAUCUCUUUUCCUCA
Molecule: long non-coding RNA, 613 nt
Organism: Glycine soja
Lineage: Eukaryota; Viridiplantae; Streptophyta; Magnoliopsida; Fabales; Fabaceae
Exons: 2
Source: RefSeq, a predicted model, not a curated record